GGCCUGUGCGGCAGACUACACAUGCAGUCGAGCGGUAGCACAGAGAGCUUGCUCUCGGGUGACGAGCGGCGGACGGGUGAGUAAUGUCUGGGAAACUGCCUGAUGGAGGGGGAUAACUACUGGAAACGGUAGCUAAUACCGCAUAAUGUCGCAAGACCAAAGAGGGGGACCUUCGGGCCUCUUGCCAUCAGAUGUGCCCAGAUGGGAUUAGCUAGUAGGUGGGGUAACGGCUCACCUAGGCGACGAUCCCUAGCUGGUCUGAGAGGAUGACCAGCCACACUGGAACUGAGACACGGUCCAGACUCCUACGGGAGGCAGCAGUGGGGAAUAUUGCACAAUGGGCGCAAGCCUGAUGCAGCCAUGCCGCGUGUAUGAAGAAGGCCUUCGGGUUGUAAAGUACUUUCAGCGGGGAGGAAGGUGUUGAGGUUAAUAACCUCAGCAAUUGACGUUACCCGCAGAAGAAGCACCGGCUAACUCCGUGCCAGCAGCCGCGGUAAUACGGAGGGUGCAAGCGUUAAUCGGAAUUACUGGGCGUAAAGCGCACGCAGGCGGUCUGUCAAGUCGGAUGUGAAAUCCCCGGGCUCAACCUGGGAACUGCAUUCGAAACUGGCAGGCUAGAGUCUUGUAGAGGGGGGUAGAAUUCCAGGUGUAGCGGUGAAAUGCGUAGAGAUCUGGAGGAAUACCGGUGGCGAAGGCGGCCCCCUGGACAAAGACUGACGCUCAGGUGCGAAAGCGUGGGGAGCAAACAGGAUUAGAUACCCUGGUAGUCCACGCCGUAAACGAUGUCGACUUGGAGGUUGUGCCCUUGAGGCGUGGCUUCCGGAGCUAACGCGUUAAGUCGACCGCCUGGGGAGUACGGCCGCAAGGUUAAAACUCAAAUGAAUUGACGGGGGCCCGCACAAGCGGUGGAGCAUGUGGUUUAAUUCGAUGCAACGCGAAGAACCUUACCUACUCUUGACAUCCAGAGAACUUUCCAGAGAUGGAUUGGUGCCUUCGGGAACUCUGAGACAGGUGCUGCAUGGCUGUCGUCAGCUCGUGUUGUGAAAUGUUGGGUUAAGUCCCGCAACGAGCGCAACCCUUAUCCUUUGUUGCCAGCGGUCCGGCCGGGAACUCAAAGGAGACUGCCAGUGAUAAACUGGAGGAAGGUGGGGAUGACGUCAAGUCAUCAUGGCCCUUACGAGUAGGGCUACACACGUGCUACAAUGGCGCAUACAAAGAGAAGCGACCUCGCGAGAGCAAGCGGACCUCAUAAAGUGCGUCGUAGUCCGGAUUGGAGUCUGCAACUCGACUCCAUGAAGUCGGAAUCGCUAGUAAUCGUAGAUCAGAAUGCUACGGUGAAUACGUUCCCGGGCCUUGUACACACCGCCCGUCACACCAUGGGAGUGGGUUGCAAAAGAAGUAGGUAGCUUAACCUUCGGGAGGGCGCUACCACUUUGAUCAGGGC
Molecule: ribosomal RNA, 1444 nt
Filed under: bacterium
Lineage: Bacteria
Description: bacterial SSU rRNA
Rfam family: Bacterial small subunit ribosomal RNA
Source: RNAcentral